GAAUCCCACAGGCCGUAAACCCAAGGUUUCCAGGGGAAGGUUCGUCCGCCCUGGGUUAGUCGGGACCUAAGCUGAGGCCGAAAGGCGUAGGUGAUGGACAACAGGUUGAUAUUCCUGUACUACCGAUAACCGUUUGAGAGAAGGGAUGACACAGUAGGAUAAGCUAAGCACACUGUUGGUUAUGUGUGCCCAAGCAUUGAGGCAGUCAAAGUAGGCAAAUCCGCUUUGAUAAUGCUGGGAUGUGAUGGGGAGCGAAAUUUAGUAGCGAAGUAGCUGAUUUCACACUGUCAAGAAAAGUCUCUAUCGAGGUUAAAGGUACCCGUACCGCAAACCGACACAGGUGGGUGAGGAGAGUAUCCUAAGGCCAGCGAGAGAACUGUUGUUAAGGAACUCGGCAAAAUGACCCCGUAACUUAGGGAUAAGGGGUGCCACCAUCAGGUGGCCGCAGAGAAUAGGCCCAAGCGACUGUUUACCAAAAACAUAGGUUUCUGCUAAGUCGCAAGACGAUGUAUAGGAGCUGACGCCUGCCCGGUGCUGGAAGGUUAAGGGGAUCUGUUAGAGCAAUCGAAGCAGUGAACUUAAGCCCCAGUAAACGGCGGCCGUAACUAUAACGGUCCUAAGGUAGCGAAAUUCCUUGUCGGGUAAGUUCCGACCCGCACGAAAGGCGUAACGAUUUGGGCACUGUCUCAACAACAGACUCGGUGAAAUUGUAAUUCCGGUGAAGAUGCCGGAUACCUGCGACAGGACGGAAAGACCCCAUGGAGCUUUACUGUAGCUUGACAUUGGGUCUUGGUACUACAUGUACAGGAUAGGUGGGAGGCUUUGAAACCAGGACGCCAGUUUUGGCGGAGCCAUCCUUGGGAUACCACCCUUGUAGUACUGGGACUCUAACCAUAGGCCAUGAAUCUGGUCUUGGGACACUGUCAGGUGGGCAGUUUGACUGGGGCGGUCGCCUCCCAAAAGGUAACGGAGGCGCUCAAAGGUUCUCUCAGUACGGUCGGAAAUCGUACGUAGAGUGUAAAGGCAAAAGAGAGCUUGAUUGCAAGACAUACAGGUCGAGCAAGGAUGAAAAUCGGACUUAGUGAUCCGGUGGUUCUGCGUGGAAGGGCCAUCGCUCAACGGAUAAAAGCUACCCUGGGGAUAACAGGCUUAUCUCCCCCAAGAGUCCACAUCGACGGGGAGGUUUGGCACCUCGAUGUCGGCUCAUCACAUCCUGGGGCUGUAGUAGGUCCCAAGGGUUGGGCUGUUCGCCCAUUAAAGUGGUACGCGAGCUGGGUUCAGAACGUCGUGAGACAGUUCGGUCCCUAUCCGUCGCAGGCGUAGGAAAUUUGAGAAGACCUGUCCUUAGUACGAGAGGACCGGGAUGGACGUACCUCUGGUGUACCAGUUGUCCUGCCAAGGGCAUGGCUGGGUAGCUAUGUACGGAAUGGAUAAGCGCUGAAAGCAUCUAAGCGCGAAGCCAACUUCAAGAUAAGAUUUCCCACCGCAAGGGUAAGACCCCAGAAAGACUAUCUGGUUGAUAGGUCGAAGGUGUAAGUGCAGCAAUGUAUUUAGCUUAUCGAUACUAAUAGGUCGAGGACUUGACCAA
This 1588-nucleotide ribosomal RNA is filed under the name Clostridioides difficile. RNAcentral's name for it is "bacterial LSU rRNA". It matches the Rfam family "Bacterial large subunit ribosomal RNA", at positions 1325 to 2925 of the family's 2925-position model. Lineage: Bacteria; Bacillati; Bacillota; Clostridia; Peptostreptococcales; Peptostreptococcaceae. The record is from RNAcentral.